UGUGACAGUAGGUGACAAUGUGUGUGUGCUGUCCUGCACACCUGGACCAGCAAGCUGUCCUGUUUUAAAAAUAUCUGUGAUUUUCUUCUGCCCUUAAUGUAGCCUUUGCUUCCAACAGUUUUGACAGAGACCCCAGAGGAUGAGCUCCCCCAAGAAGUGAAGUGUGGAUACCGGGGAUGCUUUGCAAUCAGUGCAAGCCAUUGCAAGAGUGAGGUAGGAGGUAUCUUCUCCCUGGGAAUGCAGCACUUCACUUCCUUUCAUCUGUUUCUAUAACUUGGAAGAAAAUAGCUUGGAUCAUGGCCAGUGAGCAGGGACUUUGUGGAAACAGAGAGUAAAAGGAGUAAAGUAUCCCCAAGUAA
Long non-coding RNA from Passer domesticus (house sparrow), 359 nucleotides. RefSeq lists it as uncharacterized. The record is from RefSeq and is a predicted model, not a curated record. The transcript is spliced from 2 exons. NCBI's taxonomy places the organism in Eukaryota, Metazoa, Chordata, Aves, Passeriformes, Passeridae.